UCACUUAUUGGAUUGAAUCCAGGAAGUGCGUCUAGUUUUGGAAUUUCUACUACUGUUGCCCCUACUAUAAAUCCAUCACCAUUUAGUGGCAGUACUCAAUCACCUGUAUCUCCGGCUACU
Molecule: non-coding RNA, 120 nt
Filed under: Fragilariopsis kerguelensis
Lineage: Eukaryota; Bacillariophyta; Bacillariophyceae; Bacillariales; Bacillariaceae
Source: RNAcentral